CCCAACAUGCUGGAACCAGCUGUUUUAACUAGUUCUGGUUGGCUCCGGUAUGUUUCAGCGA
Oreochromis aureus is the source of this 61-nucleotide microRNA precursor. NCBI's taxonomy places the organism in Eukaryota, Metazoa, Chordata, Actinopteri, Cichliformes, Cichlidae. The record is from Ensembl.